GACAGAGGGUGCAAACGUUGUUCGGAUUCACUGGGCGUAAAGGGUGCGUAGGUGGUGAGGUAAGUUUGAUGUGAAAUCUCCGGGCUCAACCCGGAAAUGGCAUUGAAUACUAUCUUGCUAGAGGAGUGGAGGGGGGACUGGAAUACUUGGUGUAGCAGUGAAAUGCGUAGAUAUCAAGUGGAACACCAGUGGCGAAGGCGAGUCCCUGGACACUUCCUGACACUGAGGCACGAAAGCUAGGGGAGCAAACAGG
This 253-nucleotide ribosomal RNA is filed under the name uncultured bacterium. Its description in RNAcentral is "partial 16S ribosomal RNA". It matches the Rfam family "Bacterial small subunit ribosomal RNA", at positions 524 to 776 of the family's 1533-position model. The record is from RNAcentral.